Parus major (Great Tit) is the source of this 2372-nucleotide long non-coding RNA. RefSeq lists it as uncharacterized. The record is from RefSeq and is a predicted model, not a curated record. Lineage: Eukaryota; Metazoa; Chordata; Aves; Passeriformes; Paridae. The transcript is spliced from 3 exons.
UUACAUGUUGAUCACUCUCUCUUUCUCUUUCUAGAAAAAAAGGAUUAAUCUGCAAGUUUCAUCUGGGUGAUGAAAGGGCUAAAAUCUUGCCCAGGCCUUGUAGCUGGUUCUGCUGUCUCUGCCGGAGUGGCGGCUGGAGCUGCCUGCGAUAACCUUUCUUUACUCAGCAGUCUCUGAUAAACUCAGCAGCGGCAGAAGCUGCAGCCGAGCCGGGGGAACCGGCCUGACCCGGCCUGGGCCCGCUCGCCUUCCCCCGCCCCACCCUCUGCGGCCUUGUCCGGCCUGGGGCGGGGGGAGGCCGAGCUGGAGCCUGUUACCUCCUCAGAAGCCAGAAACCAAAGAGAACAAGAAAUUCCCAGACUUACAUCUUAAGGACUGUCCCUCAAGGAGCAGAGGUAACAGCAGGCACAGCACCCUCCACCCAGAUGCCUGAGACACCAAUGAUCUAAAGAGAUGGAACAAUGGACACUUCAGCAGUCCAAGCACAUAUUGAGGAAAAAGCUGGGAGGAGGAUCAUCUCACACCUCCUACCCAUCAUGAAAAAUUCAAAGUAAAGGAAAACACACAGGUCAAGUACGCAGCUAAAUCAAUUUCUUUAACUACAAAGAGACUGAGAAUCAAUAGAUUUAGGAAGAAAACAGUUAAAUGUAUCUGAGACUAAUGACUCUACUGACAGUAACAUGGCAGCACUCUUCUCAACAUAGUAUUUAAUGUUUUUUCUAUCCAUUAUUUUAUCUAUGAUUUGGCAGUGUAACCAACUCUUUUUAUAAUGCUGUACUUAAAGAAAAUACUGUCUCCUUUGAUUAAGAUGAAUGAAAAUAAAAGCUAUCCUGAAGUGAAGGUAUUUCAGAUGGCAAGAUAUUAACAAUAAUAUGGAAAUAUAUGACAUAAAAAGAAUUUAUGGAAGAGAAAGAAUGUUACUUUAUCUGUCAUAUAAACUAAAGGUUGCUCUUCAAUGUAUGAGCACAUUUUUUUAUAGUUUAAAAGCAUUCUGGCAAACUUCAGCUGAACCUUUAACAAGAAAAUCAAAUCUUUAUAUACAAUCUAACUGAAAAAUAAAAGGCAACUUUUAGUACUAUCUCAGAUCAUCCUUGAUGUUUUCUCACCUCCACAUUACUAUUAACAAAAUUCUGCCUCUGAAAAAUUCUCUGUGUGUUACACUUCAUGGCUUAUGAAAGGGAAAUUGCUUGCUGCAUUCCCCAGGAAGGCAUAAAUAUGAUCAGAACUCAGGUCAGCAAAGUCUAUUCCUGCAAAGCCUUCAUGUUGCCAGCCCUGUUUCUGCUAUCCUCAUUCUCAGUAUAAAGUUAAAGCUGUACAUAGAUGGACUUCAGAAAGUUGAAACUACUCUGUGUGCUGUAAAAAAGUUAUAAAUUAAUCAUUUUUCAUUUAUCCUCUGGUGAAUGUCAUGUAAAAUUUUCAAACACUAGAGGUUUAUCACAGUUGCUUUUGGAGUGAUUUGAAAUGAUUGUCAGUAGCGCAAUUGCAUCCUAUGAAUAGUGUAUGAUGUUUCCACAGACACUGGCUAGGAUUUUUGUUUACUUUUAUCUAUGCUGCUGUGUUUCCUUGGUGUCAUAAAGACAAGGUAGUUUUCCCACUCUUUCUUUCCUUAAACUAGUAGUCAGCUAUUAUGUUUCCUGUUUGGUUUUGCUGGGUUUCUUUGAUUAGUAAAACGUUAAACUCUAUACUAUAUUUCUUUGUGUUGCAAGACACUGCUAGGACUGUAUUAACACCAGUUAAUUUCUGUUUGUCAGCACCAUACCCCUCUAGGAAGGCAUCCCAAAUUGAUUUUCAUGCAAGGAUCAUAAAAACUUCAUUUUCUUUUGUUGUCACUAGUGUACACUAGUAGGUAAUGCAGAAUCUAAUUGUUAUGAAACUUAGAAAGUAGAACAGUUCUCAGAAGAUUAACUAAAAUCAAUUAGCAGAGGGAAUGAAGCCACCAUUGGUUUUUGAUGCUCGCCCCCAUGAACACAGCCAUUCUCAUUCCAGGACAUAGAGGGAUUAUUUUAAUGGAAAAGAAUAGCUGGCUUCUGCGCUUUGACUGCCAACAGGAGAGUCAGUUAAUUUUGAAAGCCACAGAGGAUUUUCUCAUUUAAACAUUUUUCUCUGAGGGAGCACAGAGAAAUAACUGAAAUGUUAAAUAUUUUUAAAUUAAAUUCUUCUAAUAUUAAUAGGAUUGUUACUUUCAUUUUUUACACUACAGAAUUUGUUUGCUCAUAAUUUUGGAAAAGGUGUUUAGAGCUGAACCUUUUGAUCCAAAUACAUUACUUUCAAUACAAGCUGACUGGAAAGUGAUUGUAAAGUCAGUAUUAUGUGAUGUGUUGCUGAGCUGGUAGCAAUGAAAACCCAUUUUGCUUUUGGUUAGUGUUCUGCUG